Non-coding RNA from Chlorocebus sabaeus (green monkey), 2914 nucleotides. The record is from RefSeq and is a predicted model, not a curated record. Lineage: Eukaryota; Metazoa; Chordata; Mammalia; Primates; Cercopithecidae.
UCUGGGAGGUGACACAUCAGUCAGGUGACACAUAGCUCUCAGAGAGGAGCAGGCAGCUCAUCUGUGCCUCCCCAUCCAGCCGGGCCUCAGACUCUUGGUCACAAUGGGCACCCAGCCCAGGUUUCCGUCCCCAACGUCCACUGGUGGGGCUGUUCGCCACAGGACAUCCUGAAGAUGACAAGAAGGCCAUCUUUGAGAAGGUGGGACUUUGGCCUCUCUUCAUCACUUCUAUCUACUGUCACCCCACCCUGCUGCCCCUCCACAGACAGGCACCCCUCAGGGCAAAAGCAGCCAUGAGCCAGGGCACCUCCCUUUAGCAAACCUGCUUGGAUUCCAGCCUUCACAGCCCCAGGCUGCAGCCCCAAAGCCAGCCCUGUUGCCCUGGUCAAGUCUCCAGUGACUCCAGAAAGCGAGGAGAGGCAGAGAGGUUGUCCUGGUGGUGAGCAAGAAGCCCACGACAUCACUGGCUCCACAGACUGCCACAGGUAAACAGCUUGAACCAGAUGACUCAGGCUGAAAGCACAUGAACCCUUCCUGCAGGGAGGUCGCCUGGAUGCAGCAGUGGUUCCACCCCUGAACCAGGCAGCCUUUGAAGACCUUGCUUCAUGUGGGCUGAAACGGCAGUGCCUCUCCUCUUUGUGGCCGGGUUUUGCCUCCUCUUUGACUCGGAAGCGUCUCCUAUCCUGCAAGGACAGUUUGAGCAGAGCCCCUGGGCCCUCCUUCCAAGAGGCUCUUGCAGCUGUGGACCCCCAAGAGUUUAUGCUGCUGAACUCUGCUGCCUCUCCCCACCUGUCUGCCCCCACACCUGUGACGCUGGCUCUCCUGGAUCCUCCUGUAGACUGGCUCCUAUAAGCACAAAGAGGAACAUGCGAGAUGCUGGGAUUGGAUGCUCGGGGCCUGGGGCUGGUGUUUCCUCAUGCCCGGGCUAUUUCUUUUUGGCCCUGGGCAUGCCGUCAUGUGCUUCCUUUCAUGGGCGGGUUGGGGACCAGGGCCAGCGAGCAGAGACGGUCCCCAGGGCUUCUCCAUCACUGACUCUUCCCAGGAAGCAGCCUCAGCUGGCGUUCUGGGGACCAGAGCUGGCCAUGAGGGAGGGGUAGACGGGGAAGGAACCGGCUGCCCAGCUCAGCAGGGAUUUGUGGAGGCUGACUUGCAUGGUUUCGGGUUUGCCUUGCCUGGAAGCCUGGCCAGGGGAGGCUCAAGUUUCCCGCCAGCUGGCCUUCCUCCUCCUCCUCCGUGUGAGUGACGACCCAUGGCCAUGAUGUCAUCACCUCGUACAAACAGAAGGGAGACUGGCUUGGUGGAGCUGGCGGCUGUCCCAUGCUGAGUGCAGCAGUAAAUUUCAUUUCAAGGCUAUGAUUAGGUCUGUGCCCAAGAAUGUGCCCCUCUCUCCUCCCCUCUCCCCGGGCCUGUUUGUCUCCCUCUGUUCCUGUCCCGCCUGUUUUCCUCUUUGUCCUCCCCUCUGGUCCUUUCUCUCUUCUCUGGGGAUGCUUCAGUUUCUCUGUGAUAUGGACCCUGUGGCCAGCAGCAGCAUCAGGCCCGAGCCAGACUCUCGUUACCUCCAGUUUCAAACUCAGCCUCGUGUCUUCUGGAGCCAGCUUCAGGAAGCGUGGGGCAGGUCUGAGUCCCUGGACUUCCUCCUGGGAGGAUGGGUUGGGGUGAGGGGCAGAGUUCCUGAAGGCCCUCAUUCAGCCUUGAGCUGGAGAGCCAGACAGCAGGAAGAGCAGGCUUGGGGUGGCUGUGGUCACUACCACCGAGAUCAGAGGCAGCGAGGCAGGAGAAAGGUGAGGAGAAACCAAGCUUUUUGAAAAGCGAGUCAGAUCCUUCUUGCCAUUCCCAGCUGGUUUCUGGAGGUUUGGGUCUGAGUCAUUAACUCAUUUUUUGGCAUGGCCACCCUUCCUCUCAGCCUCGAGAGGGCCCUUGGGCUCUGUGGACACCUGUGACAGUCCUGCCGCCCAUCACACUCAACCUUGCCUCCAGCAUGACCCGGCCACCCUGGUUCUGUCCUGGUGCUCUCCGGCCCAGGAAUGAGGCCGACGGCUCGUCACCCCUCAGUGUCACCUGCGUUCACCGGCCCCUGCUUGCCUCCCCUCGAAGGUGCCACCCGGCCACAGAACCGUGUUGCCGUGGAUGCCCGUGAGGAAGGCUCCGAGGUCUGGACAAGUGGUGUCCCACUGCACCUGCACUGGGCUGGGCUGCCUGUGGGGGUAGAGGGUGCUCUGGGUCUUUGUCGGUGCUCCCUGUCCCGUGGGACUGUGGUUCUGACCCCUUGGAGGAGGUAGCAGAACACCCUGGAUGUGGCCUCGUCAAUGAGAGAGCCCACAGUCACUCCCAGCCCCAUCAGACCCUGCCUGCCCCACAUUCAGCCAUCCUUCCUCAUUAAGACCAUCCUUCCUCAUUAAGACACUGCCUGCCCCACAUUCAGCCAUCCUUCCUCAUUAAACCUGUGCUCACCAGGCAACAGCCAGUUGAGAAUGAGGCGAUGAGCUGCAGCCCCGGGGAGGGGCCCAGCUGGGGCGGGGUGGAGGUGCAGUCGUCCUAGCAACCGGCAGAGGUGGACACCGCAUUUCUGUGGCUCAUCACCCUGACUUCAUCUGGACUCCCUGUACUUUCUCUCGUAGAUUUCUCAUUCUCACGUCUGUCUCCCCCACUGACUGUAACCUCUUAAGGCUAUAGUUCAUUUAUUCAUUCAACAGGUAUUUACUGGGCACCAGUCAUGGGACUGUGCAGAUGCCAGGGAAAUGGAUGGGGAGUGGCCCCUCCUUCCUGCAGUGCAAACCAUCCUUUAAUAUUACCUUCUCUUUUUCUGGAUAGAGAAGCAUGUCAACUUUAUUCUGCAAUGGCUUAUCUUAGCAUAAGACAUUUCUCUUAAAGGCAAAAUCAGCUUCCCAGCAUCCUUGCCUUGGAAUCCUCACCC